This is a non-coding RNA of Eptesicus fuscus (big brown bat), 426 nucleotides long. The record is from the annotation of a RefSeq genome assembly. NCBI's taxonomy places the organism in Eukaryota, Metazoa, Chordata, Mammalia, Chiroptera, Vespertilionidae.
AUGACCUCCACCAUGGCCUGGGCCCCUCUCCUCCUCACCCUCCUGGCUCACUGCACAGGAUCCUGGGCCCAGCCUGUGCUGACUCAGCCAUCCUCCUUGUCGGGGGCCCCGGGCCAGAAGGUCACCAUCUCCUGCACUGGAAGCAGCACCAACAUUGGGGGUUACCAUGUUUCCUGGCACCAACAGCUCCCAGGAAAGGCCCCCAAAUGCAUCAUCUAUACUAGUAACAUUCGACCCUCAGGGGUCCCGGACCGAUUCUCUGGCUCCAGGUCUGGCAAUUCGGCCUCUCUGGCCAUCACGGGGCUGCAGGCUGAGGACGAGGCUGAUUAUUACUGCUCAACAUGGGACGGCAGUCUCAGCGGUGCCACAGUGCUGCAGGCCCGUGGGGAACUGAGACAAAAACCCCUCUGCUCUGCGAGGGGGUAA